RNAcentral lists this small nuclear RNA (69 nucleotides) under Jaculus jaculus (lesser Egyptian jerboa). Its description in RNAcentral is "U5 spliceosomal RNA (ENSJJAG00000009457.1)". It matches the Rfam family "U5 spliceosomal RNA", at positions 7 to 74 of the family's 117-position model. From Rfam's summary of the family: U5 RNA is a component of both types of known spliceosome. Lineage: Eukaryota; Metazoa; Chordata; Mammalia; Rodentia; Dipodidae. The record is from RNAcentral.
UGGUUUCUUGUCUAGUCAAACAAAUCUUUUUGCCUUUUACUAAAGAUUUCCGUGGAGAGAGACAUUAAA